Molecule: unclassified non-coding RNA, 1315 nt
Filed under: Hevea brasiliensis (rubber tree)
Lineage: Eukaryota; Viridiplantae; Streptophyta; Magnoliopsida; Malpighiales; Euphorbiaceae
Source: RNAcentral
GGAGAAGUUAAUUAUAAAAUUUCAUUUGUGAAAUAAAAUGGAACAUUAUUAUUCACCGUAUGAUUUUUUUUUUUUUCAUAUAUAUAUGAAUUGGAAUUGCCACAAGGUAAAAGUUGAAACCAAACACAAUCAUUGCAUCACAGUCUUCACACAUUGCAUAACCAGUGUCCACCAUGACACCCUGAUGCAGACACCAUCUAAGACUGGAAAGAGCCCAAAUUGAAGCGAACAAAGCCAGAAAGAAAAAUAAAAUAGACCCAUGAAAGUGGAAAUGAUAAAAGUUGACCAUGCAGGUCAACAUCAGCUCAGCUGCCUCUCUAAUUAAGUAGCCACACUGUGGAGCACCACAGUUUCAACAGUGAGCCCAGGCCCAAAACCAAACAGCACGCCCCACUCAAGCCCUUCUCCGGUAGAUUUAAGCCCAUCCUCAGCAGACUUCUUUCUCAUCUCAUCCAAAAUAAAUAGCACACAUGCACUGGACAUGUUGCCGUACUCAGAAAGAACGUGCCUUGUGGCCCGUAGCUUUUCAGGCUUCAGCCCGAGCUUCGCCUCUACUUGGUCAAGAAUUGCAGGGCCACCAGGGUGGGCAAUCCAAAACAGAGAGUUCCAAUCUGAGAUGCCCAGUGGCUGGAAUGCUUCAACAAGACUUUUCUCUAUGUUCCUUGAGAUAAUCCCAGGAACAUCCCUAAGCAGGUGAAAUGUAAGCCCAACUUCUCGGAGAUGUCCGUCUAUCGCCCCGUCGCUGUUAGGAAGGAUGGUUUGUGCAGCAGUGACAAGUUCAAACAAUGGCUUCUCUACCUGGGGCACUGGGUCUGAGCCCACUAUGAUAGCUGCUGCACCAUCACCGAACAAAGAUUGGCCUACAAGACUAUCAAGGUGUGUGUCGCUUGGACCACGGAAUGUCACCGCUGUUAUUUCGGAGCAAACAACAAGAACACGAGCACCUUUGUUAUUCUCGGCGAGGUCUUUAGCGAGGCGGAGAACCGUUCCGCCGGCGAAACAACCUUGUUGGUACAUCAUGAGCCGCUUCACGGAUGGGCGGAGACCCAAAAGCUUCGUUAGCUGAUAAUCAGCACCGGGCAUGUCCACACCACUAGUCGUGCAAAAGACCAAGUGAGUGAUUUUGGAUUUGGGCUGGCCCCAUUCUUUGAUAGCUCUGACGGCAGCUUCUUUGCCUAGCUUUGGUAUCUCGACCACCACUAUAUCUUGUCUGGCAUCCAAGGAAGGAGCCAUAUAUGCACAGAUAUUAGGGUUUUCUUUCAAUAUAUCCUCUGUCAAGUGCAUGUAACGCUUCUUGAUCAUGGAUUUGUCACAC